CGAGGUGUAGCGCAGUUUGGUAGCGCACAUGGUUUGGGACCAUGGGGCCGGGGGUUCGAAUCCCUCCACCUCGACCA
Molecule: transfer RNA, 77 nt
Filed under: Alkalibacter saccharofermentans DSM 14828
Lineage: Bacteria; Bacillati; Bacillota; Clostridia; Eubacteriales; Eubacteriaceae
Also listed under: 6 other names
Description: tRNA_Pro_TGG
Rfam family: tRNA
About the family: Transfer RNA (tRNA) molecules are approximately 80 nucleotides in length. Their secondary structure includes four short double-helical elements and three loops (D, anti-codon, and T loops). Further hydrogen bonds mediate the characteristic L-shaped molecular structure. tRNAs have two regions of fundamental functional importance: the anti-codon, which is responsible for specific mRNA codon recognition, and the 3' end, to which the tRNAs corresponding amino acid is attached (by aminoacyl-tRNA synthetases). tRNAs cope with the degeneracy of the genetic code in two manners: having more than one tRNA (with a specific anti-codon) for a particular amino acid; and 'wobble' base-pairing, i.e. permitting non-standard base-pairing at the 3rd anti-codon position.
Source: RNAcentral